AGCAGGAUAUGGUGUAAAUAAUUCAGUUGGUAAAGAAUGAAUUACAAAACAAGAAACGAACAAAUAGGAGGGUGAAGGGGAGGUAGGGACGAAGGGUAGAGAGGCAGAGAAAACGUUAGAUUCAGUCAGAAGGAAAGCUGAAAACGACUGGACAGGUUUAGUCAGAGAUCAGAAAAAAGCCUCUGACUCUAUCAUUAGCACUGCGACCCCUCGGCUGAAUACAGGAGAUAAGGUGCUAAAGCCUACGGUAGAAGAAUAACAGUUUUAAGCACAGUCAGGAUGGCAUGAAGAUGAAGUAUUAUUUAAUGGAAGAGUGUUUAUUUGGAUAUAUUUGCACACACAGCCACCAACGUGGAGAAACUCCAGGGUUGAUAUGGCUGGAGAAGAUUCACAGACUGGCAUUAGUGGAGUUUUAUGGUACUGGGGUGUGCUUGUUAUACUUGACUGUAUCUGCAGAUGUAUUUCCAGGCUACUGAAAAUGUUUUCACACUGCACAAAAUACAGAUGGGGACACAAAAAAAAACUGUCACUGUCAUUUUAUCAUAAGAAUUAAUUUAAAGAUCGCAAGUUUGCAUUAUUCUGAGUGUCCCCACAAGAAAAACAUCCUUAAAGCUGGUUGUUACUAUUGUACAGUAUAUAAAACAAUGAAAUCUGAGUGUAUCUGUGUUCAUGUGCAGCAAUGUAGUUCAGGACACAUUAUUCCCAAAUAAACUCCUUCACGGUCAUUGUUACUGCUUCACUUUAUGGUUCAUGAGAAGCUCGCGACACAAAUUGUGCUACGACAUUUAGACAUUCUGAAUGUGGGGAUGAAUCAGUGUCGAACCAGGAGCUCGUUGCAUAGCUUUAUGCACAUGGUCCACUCUGAAGACAAGCCACAACAUGGAACUAGCCGACACAACUUCACACGAACAGGACUAGGACCCACUGAAACCACAAAACUGUAAACAGGCGCAGCACUGAACCAUGAGGUAACGAACAGCGGGCAGAGGGAGGGAGUGUCUGACAAUCAAAAAAAAAAAAAAAAAGAACCAAAAGAAAACUCAAAGGAUUACCCCAAAAAAUAAAAAC
Molecule: long non-coding RNA, 1068 nt
Organism: Betta splendens (Siamese fighting fish)
Lineage: Eukaryota; Metazoa; Chordata; Actinopteri; Anabantiformes; Osphronemidae
Exons: 2
Source: RefSeq, a predicted model, not a curated record